GACGAACGCUGGCGGCGUGCCUAAUACAUGCAAGUUGAGCGCUGAAGGUUGGUACUUGUACCAACUGGAUGAGCAGCGAACGGGUGAGUAACGCGUGGGGAAUCUGCCUUUGAGCGGGGGACAACAUUUGGAAACGAAUGCUAAUACCGCAUAAAAACUUUAAACACAAGUUUUAAGUUUGAAAGAUACAAUUGCAUCACUCAAAGAUGAUCCCGCGUUGUAUUAGCUAGUUGGUGAGGUAAAGGCUCACCAAGGCGAUGAUACAUAGCCGACCUGAGAGGGUGAUCGGCCACAUUGGGACUGAGACACGGCCCAAACUCCUACGGGAGGCAGCAGUAGGGAAUCUUCGGCAAUGGACGAAAGUCUGACCGAGCAACGCCGCGGGAGUGAAGAAGGUUUUCGGAUCGUAAAACUCUGUUGGUAGAGAAGAACGUUGGUGAGAGUGGAAAGCUCAUCAAGUGACGGUAACUACCCAGAAAGGGACGGCUAACUACGUG
This 497-nucleotide ribosomal RNA is filed under the name uncultured bacterium. Its description in RNAcentral is "partial 16S ribosomal RNA". It matches the Rfam family "Bacterial small subunit ribosomal RNA", at positions 28 to 507 of the family's 1533-position model. The record is from RNAcentral.